CUUUCCAAGGGAGCAACAGCAGUACGUGAUACUCCUCCAGCGACUCCACCAGCAAUUAAGGACUUGGAUAUACUGAUAAGGGCGUAACUUGGCGCCUUAACCCCUUCUCUUGCUAGCUUCGCCUCCUCAGCCAGAUUCACGAUCGUCGAAACUGCAGAGUCUCCAGUCUUCACGUCCUCUGAUGCCAUCGCCGGAAUCCUAAGUCAAACUUCCGGCGCUGUCUGCUGCUAUUCCGGCGCCUCUUAUUCACUGGAAAUGGGAGUUAGCAUUCGAGAUAGAGAGAGAUGGAGGCGUUGGCCGGAGAGAGAGAGAGAGAGAGAGAGAGA
RNAcentral lists this unclassified non-coding RNA (326 nucleotides) under Hevea brasiliensis (rubber tree). Lineage: Eukaryota; Viridiplantae; Streptophyta; Magnoliopsida; Malpighiales; Euphorbiaceae. The record is from RNAcentral.